CUGGAGGUAUCAGAAGUGCGAAUGCUGACAUAAGUAACGAUAAAGCGGGUGAAAAGCCCGCUCGCCGGAAGACCAAGGGUUCCUGUCCAACGUUAAUCGGGGCAGGGUGAGUCGACCCCUAAGGCGAGGCCGAAAGGCGUAGUCGAUGGGAAACGGGUUAAUAUUCCCGUACUUGGUGUUACUGCGAAGGGGGGACGGAGAAGGCUAUGUUGGCCGGGCGACGGUUGUCCCGGUUUAAGCGUGUAGGUGUGUGUUCCAGGUAAAUCCGGUUCACUUUAACACUGAGGCGUGAUGACGAGGCACUACGGUGCUGAAGUAACAAAUGCCCUGCUUCCAGGAAAAGCCUCUAAGCAUCAGGUAACAUCAAAUCGUACCCCAAACCGACACAGGUGGUCAGGUAGAGAAUACCAAGGCGCUUGAGAGAACUCGGGUGAAGGAACUAGGCAAAAUGGUGCCGUAACUUCGGGAGAAGGCACGCUGACACGUAGGUGAAGUGAUUUACUCACGGAGCUGAAGUCAGUCGAAGAUACCAGCUGGCUGCAACUGUUUAUUAAAAACACAGCACUGUGCAAACACGAAAGUGGACGUAUACGGUGUGACGCCUGCCCGGUGCCGGAAGGUUAAUUGAUGGGGUCAGCGCAAGCGAAGCUCCUGAUCGAAGCCCCGGUAAACGGCGGCCGUAACUAUAACGGUCCUAAGGUAGCGAAAUUCCUUGUCGGGUAAGUUCCGACCUGCACGAAUGGCGUAAUGAUGGCCAGGCUGUCUCCACCCGAGACUCAGUGAAAUUGAACUCGCUGUGAAGAUGCAGUGUACCCGCGGCAAGACGGAAAGACCCCGUGAACCUUUACUAUAGCUUGACACUGAACAUUGAGCCUUGAUGUGUAGGAUAGGUGGGAGGCUUUGAAGUGUGGACGCCAGUCUGCAUGGAGCCGACCUUGAAAUACCACCCUUUAAUGUUUGAUGUUCUAACGUGGACCCGUUACCCGGGUUGCGGACAGUGUCUGGUGGGUAGUUUGACUGGGGCGGUCUCCUCCUAAAGAGUAACGGAGGAGCACGAAGGUUGGCUAAUCCUGGUCGGACAUCAGGAGGUUAGUGCAAUGGCAUAAGCCAGCUUGACUGCGAGCGUGACGGCGCGAGCAGGUGCGAAAGCAGGUCAUAGUGAUCCGGUGGUUCUGAAUGGAAGGGCCAUCGCUCAACGGAUAAAAGGUACUCCGGGGAUAACAGGCUGAUACCGCCCAAGAGUUCAUAUCGACGGCGGUGUUUGGCACCUCGAUGUCGGCUCAUCACAUCCUGGGGCUGAAGUAGGUCCCAAGGGUAUGGCUGUUCGCCAUUUAAAGUGGUACGCGAGCUGGGUUUAGAACGUCGUGAGACAGUUCGGUCCCUAUCUGCCGUGGGCGCUGGAGAACUGAGGGGGGCUGCUCCUAGUACGAGAGGACCGGAGUGGACGCAUCACUGGUGUUCGGGUUGUCAUGCCAAUGGCACUGCCCGGUAGCUAAAUGCGGAAGAGAUAAGUGCUGAAAGCAUCUAAGCACGAAACUUGCCCCGAG
RNAcentral lists this ribosomal RNA (1547 nucleotides) under Salmonella enterica subsp. enterica serovar Enteritidis. Its description in RNAcentral is "partial 23S ribosomal RNA". It matches the Rfam family "Bacterial large subunit ribosomal RNA", at positions 1273 to 2803 of the family's 2925-position model. Lineage: Bacteria; Pseudomonadati; Pseudomonadota; Gammaproteobacteria; Enterobacterales; Enterobacteriaceae. The record is from RNAcentral.